UAGGGAAUAUUGGUCAAUGGGCGAAAGCCUGAACCAGCAACGCCGCGUGUGUGAUGAAGGCCUUCGGGUCGUAAAGCACUUUUCUGGGAGAUGAGAAAGGACAGUAUCCCAGGAAUAAGUCUCGGCUAACUACGUGCCAGCAGCCGCGGUAAAACGUAGGAGGCGAGCGUUAUCCGGAUUCACUGGGCGUAAAGCGCGUGCAGGUGGCGCGGUAAGUUGGGCGUGAAAUCUCCCGGCUCAACUGGGAGAGGUCGUCCAAUACUACCGUGCUUGAGAGCAGAAGAGGAAGAUGGAAUUCCCGGUGUAGUGGUGAAAUGCGUAGAUAUCGGGAGGAACACCAGUGGCGAAGGCGAUCUUCUGGUCUGUUUCUGACACUCAGACGCGACAGCUAGGGUAGUAAACGGGAUUAGAGACCCCGGUAAUCCUAGCCGUAAACGAUGUGAACUUGGCGUUGGUGGGUUAAACUCCAUCAGUGCCGUAGCAAACGCGAUAAGUUCACCGCCUGGGGACUACGGCCGCAAGGUUAA
RNAcentral lists this ribosomal RNA (527 nucleotides) under uncultured Anaerolineaceae bacterium. RNAcentral describes it as "bacterial SSU rRNA". It matches the Rfam family "Bacterial small subunit ribosomal RNA", at positions 355 to 897 of the family's 1533-position model. Lineage: Bacteria; Bacillati; Chloroflexota; Anaerolineae; Anaerolineales; Anaerolineaceae. The record is from RNAcentral.